CGGGAAAUGAUGUUGUUGCAGCAACACAAGGACAGAAAUAAGUACAAAUAAAUCAUUAGAGGUCUUUAAAACUAAAAUAUACGUAAAAAUAGAAACUAUAAAAGAGCAAUUAAAGCUCUGUAUCUCUUUGUAUUCGCUACAUCGUGUUCACUUUGAUCCGAUAAAUCUGUUUUUCAUUUACAGGUGUGCGAGAAUCAGCGUAAUGACCUGCAGCUUCUGCAGUUGAACCUGGAAAGUACCCGCGAAACUCUGCGGGAGAAGAACAGUCAGGGAUUACCUGGCAGGUGAAUAGUGUUUUAAAAAAUAAAUAUAGAACACGCCUGAUGUAGUUAUUUUCAUUUCAUAUUUUGUGGCGGUAGAGAAGCUACUGAGUUUGAGUUGUUGAGCAGUGUGGGCACGGUGAAAGAAAAGAGCAGCCAGGAUAACAAUUUGUACGUGAAGAAAUUGAACAGAAGAGGCAGGAGUCCGCUCUAAGACACUAGAGGUGCAUCUCGCGAAAGAAAGAGGUAGUGAUGACAUUGAUCAGACUCAUUUCUAGCUGUAUUUUAGUAGAGAGGAGCAGUAUUGAUCUAAAUCUUGUAAGAUCUCCAAGAACUGGAGUUGAAUGAUUUGUUUGUCUCAGUCAGGAGGAGUUAAGAUGCGUCUGUCUGGACAGCUGGUCACCUCCGUCACCCAGAGUGAAGAACUCCAGACGUUUACAUGACGCUGCCGCUCCACCUGCAGCCAAUCAGCAAGUCACGGUCAACGGUGACCCGGGAGACUUCUCAGCGCUCUCGAUUGAUGGUGAUGAUCCUCUGUCCAGCUGUUCUCUGCAGCAGCUGUUAAAUGAGUCCAGGCAGGUCAUCAGUUCAGAGCACUGCAGCUCGAGGCUCCACUGCUCCAUACACAGUAACAGUGUCCCUGCUAUGAGCUGUGGGACCACUGAUCCCCUUUACUCUCAUAAGGCAUCCCACCUCCACACAACUACCCCAACAUACAAGGUAGAGGAGUUUCAUGAUGCUGGGCCUCUCAACCUCUUCUCUCACCAGUUGUAUUCAUGGGGUGUGGCAUCAAGGGUGUAAUGUUCAGUUGAACUGCUCCCACUUUUAGUUUGGGUGUGUUAAGACAUAACAGCUUUAUUAUUUUUUCUCCAACAGGCCAGUGAAACUCCACCCAAAGCCUGCCCUCGACACCAGCCAGCCAUGUGGUCGGCUUGACUUGGCUUGUAUUUACCAAAGCUUUCAAAAUCAGUGUUACUACAGAAAAUGCAAAUAUUAUAAGUUAACUCUAAAGUGUUAAAUAUCUGUAUGCAAAUAGUUAAAGGUUGAACGGUCUCUCAGGGAAAUUAUGAAGUGAUAAAAAUACAUUUAAUGUCCUGAAUUUGUAGCUUUUUAUACCCUUAAUCUUGUUUUUAAAUAGGUUGCAGUGUUUAAUUCAUACAUGUGUAUUUUUUUUAAAGCCCUGUUUCAGAUUUUUAAAGGCUGUAUUGUGUGGAGAGAUGUGAAACCAGUCCUACAGGGCUGUUGAGUCCUGGUGUGUCCUUGUAUUGUCUUUCCAGUUUCACUGCCUACACGUUUGCCGGUGACUCAAGAGGAAAUGUCGAUAGCUGUUAAUAUCUUUUACAAUCUAUAACGUUGGUUAUUAAUUUUGAUUAAAAUAUAUAUAUUUAUAUGUAAACUACGUGUCAGUGGUGUUUAUAUGGCCUGUGAAUAAACUAGCAAGUAUUUAUGAAUGCGCGUUUCUACGCAUUUGGAGAGCUUUUACGCACAAGAGGAACUUUGUUGAAUUGUAGGUCCGCUUUGUUUUAGGAAGACUGCGAGGUUUUAAUUUGAAGAAGCG
This is a long non-coding RNA of Cottoperca gobio, 1818 nucleotides long. Lineage: Eukaryota; Metazoa; Chordata; Actinopteri; Perciformes; Bovichtidae. The record is from Ensembl.